GAAGGUAUAGCUCAGUGGUAGAGCGUGUGCUUAGCAUGCACAAGGUCCUGGGUUGAAUCCCCAGUACCUCUA
RNAcentral lists this transfer RNA (72 nucleotides) under Camelus bactrianus (Bactrian camel). It matches the Rfam family "tRNA". Rfam says of the family: Transfer RNA (tRNA) molecules are approximately 80 nucleotides in length. Their secondary structure includes four short double-helical elements and three loops (D, anti-codon, and T loops). The record is from Rfam by way of RNAcentral. Lineage: Eukaryota; Metazoa; Chordata; Mammalia; Artiodactyla; Camelidae. RNAcentral also lists the same sequence under 2 other names.